This 917-nucleotide long non-coding RNA is filed under the name Capra hircus (goat). RNAcentral describes it as "lncRNA (ENSCHIG00000001227.1)". The record is from RNAcentral. Lineage: Eukaryota; Metazoa; Chordata; Mammalia; Artiodactyla; Bovidae.
CUCCUGCUGACUGCUGGAUCUGAUCAAGGACUGCAGGAGCCUGACUGCUGCUUGUCCUCACAUCGCUUCCCAAAGGCUCAAUUCCACCUUUGCCCAGAGAGGCCCCCUUGCAGGGCUAGAACCAAGGGUGAGGGGCCCCGACCACUGCCGCCUCCCCUCCUCCCACUUCUGCCUACAGGCUCGGGCCCCAACCCUGGCCCCAAACAUAAGAGCCAGAGCCAAAUGCUUCUAGCAUAUACCACCGUGGGUGAUUUAUUUAAGGGUCUCCAAAUAAUCACUUAAGUGUCACCAUGGCAACCUGGAGAGUUGCCAUGGAGAUCGGAGCAGGAAACGUCCCCAUGGAGACCCCUGGGAGACUCUCUAGGAAAUCAUUACCAGGUGGAUGGGGCUUGGGAAGGGGGAGCUGGACAAAGAAGGGAGCCCCACGGUUCUGUGUGCUGGCAGGCGGAGGGGGUGAAGGGGCAGAAUGGGAAAGACCAGCUUAAAAAGGCAGGAUAUACAAGCUGAGGCAGGCAGACACAGGAAACAGUGCAAAAGAGAUACAGACAUAGAAUCCAGGAUCCAAAAAGGAAGCUCUCGUUGUGGACAGGGGAAGAAACAGUACACGCACGAUGUAAUGGCUGGAGCUCAAGCAGUCUUCUGGGAGUUUAAGCAGCUCAAGCCCUGUGCAGAGGAGAAUGAAGCCCAGUGGAAGGAUCCUAUACCAUGGGGUACCAAACCAGCUGACUUACUGUCUUCAUUUAUGUGGGAAAAGAAUGCACCUUUUUUUGGCUGCAACCACUUCAGAAAACAGGCAUCACCUGGUAAAGUUAAACAUUGCAUACCCCAUGGCUCAGCAAUUCCUCGUAAAUAUAGAAGAGAUGGGCGCAUGUGCCUUGAUACCAUAGGAGUUGCAUACACCAGCAUUGCUAGCAUCA